AUUGAACGCUGGCGGAAUGCUUUACACAUGCAAGUCGAACGGUAGAGGGGGCAACCCCUUGAGAGUGGCGAACGGGUGAGUAAUAUAUCGGAACGUGCCCAGUCGUGGGGAUAACGUAGCGAAAGUUACGCUAAUACCGCAUACGAUCUAAGGAUGAAAGCGGGGGACUCGCAAGAGCCUCGCGCGAUUGGAGCGGCCGAUAUCAGAUUAGGUAGUUGGUGGGGUAAAGGCUCACCAAGCCAACGAUCUGUAGCUGGUCUGAGAGGACGACCAGCCACACUGGAACUGAGACACGGUCCAGACUCCUACGGGAGGCAGCAGUGGGGAAUUUUGGACAAUGGACGCAAGUCUGAUCCAGCCAUUCCGCGUGCAGGAUGAAGGCCC
This 384-nucleotide ribosomal RNA is filed under the name uncultured bacterium. Its description in RNAcentral is "bacterial SSU rRNA". It matches the Rfam family "Bacterial small subunit ribosomal RNA", at positions 30 to 417 of the family's 1533-position model. The record is from RNAcentral.